This 418-nucleotide ribosomal RNA is filed under the name uncultured bacterium. Its description in RNAcentral is "partial 16S ribosomal RNA". It matches the Rfam family "Bacterial small subunit ribosomal RNA", at positions 338 to 754 of the family's 1533-position model. The record is from RNAcentral.
GCUACGGGAGGCAGCAGUGAGGAAUAUUGGUCAAUGGCCGAGAGGCUGAACCAGCCAAGUCGCGUGAGGGAUGACGGCCCUACGGGUUGUAAACCUCUUUUGUCGGGGAGCAAAGAGAGGCACGUGUGGCUCAUUGAGAGUACCCGAAGAAAAAGCAUCGGCUAACUCCGUGCCAGCAGCCGCGGUAAGACGGAGGAUGCGAGCGUUAUCCGGAUUUAAUUGGUUUAAAGGGGGCGCAGGCGGGGGUGCAAGUCAGUGGUCAAAUGGCGGGGCUCCACCCCGUACUCCCGUUUAAACUGCAUCCCUUGAGUGCGCGAGAAGUCUGCGGUUUGCGUGGUGUAGCGGUGAAAUGCAUAGAUAUCACGCAGAACUCCGAUUGCGAAGGCAGCAUACCGGCGCGCACCUGCCGCUCAUGCAC